This 301-nucleotide ribosomal RNA is filed under the name uncultured bacterium. RNAcentral describes it as "partial 16S ribosomal RNA". It matches the Rfam family "Bacterial small subunit ribosomal RNA", at positions 509 to 807 of the family's 1533-position model. The record is from RNAcentral.
CAGCAGCCGCGGUAAUACGAAGGGUGCAAGCGUUAAUCGGAAUUACUGGGCGUAAAGCGUGCGUAGGCGGUUUGUUAAGUCUGUUGUGAAAUCCCCGGGCUCAACCUGGGAAUGGCAAUGGAUACUGGCAAGCUAGAGUGUGUCAGAGGAUGGUGGAAUUCCGCGUGUAGCAGUGAAAUGCGUAGAUAUGCGGAGGAACACCGAUGGCGAAGGCAGCCCCCUGGGCCAACACUGACGCUCAUGCACGAAAGCGUGGGGAGCAAACAGGAUUAGAUACCCGCGUAGUCCCUGUCUCUUAUAC